ACACACACACACACACACACACACACACACACACACACACACACACACACACACACACACACACACACACACACACACACACACACACACACACACACACACACACACAAGAAGAAAUCCUGACAGCACCGAGACAGGAACAGGUCUGAGAAAUGUCCUCCACACCCACAAUGCACCGCGCGUCAGCUGACUGCAGCCUAUUUCCGUGUAAACAGGAAGAACACAAGUUUAUUUAUUUAUUUAAACGUUUUAAUUAUUUUUCUUUUCUGCUUCUUAAAGGAAUGAGAACCUGAACCAUCCUGGACCUCCACACACCAGGAACUGGAGACCUCAUCAUCUUACACCAGGAGGAACUUCACCCUGAUAGAACACAUACUAUACUGAUUUGUUUAUGAACCCUGGGGUUAGGGGUAGGGGUAGGGUUAUUGUUAUUGUUAGGGGUUAGUGUUAGGGGUAGGGUUAUUAGGGGUAGGGUUAUUGUUAGGGGGUA
This is a long non-coding RNA of Tachysurus fulvidraco (yellow catfish), 490 nucleotides long. RefSeq lists it as uncharacterized. The transcript has 3 exons. Lineage: Eukaryota; Metazoa; Chordata; Actinopteri; Siluriformes; Bagridae. The record is from RefSeq and is a predicted model, not a curated record.